Molecule: ribosomal RNA, 735 nt
Filed under: uncultured bacterium
Lineage: Bacteria
Description: bacterial SSU rRNA
Rfam family: Bacterial small subunit ribosomal RNA
Source: RNAcentral
CGGGCUUCGGCCCGGGGCAAAGCCGCGAACGGGUGAGUAUCACGUGGGUAACCUGCCCCGAUGACCGGGACAACCCGAGGAAACUCGGGCUAAUACCGGAUGUGUUCUCAAUCCAUCAGGGUGGAGAGCAAAGGAAGCUUCGGCCUCCGCAUCGGGAUGGGCCCGCGGCCCAUUAGCUUGUUGGUGAGGUAAAGGCUCACCAAGGCAACGAUGGGUAGCUGGUCUGAGAGGACGAUCAGCCACACUGGGACUGAGACACGGCCCAGACUCCUACGGGAGGCAGCAGUGGGGAAUCUUGCGCAAUGCGCAAAAGCGUGACGCAGCAACGCCGCGUGAGGGAAGAAGGCCUUCGGGUUGUAAACCUCUUUCAGGAGGGACGAAGGUUCAGGCGUGAAUAGCGUCCUGGACUGACGGUACCUCCAGAAGAAGCCCCGGCUAACUACGUGCCAGCAGCCGCGGUAAUACGUAGGGGGCUAGCGUUGUCCGGAAUCAUUGGGCGUAAAGAGCGUGUAGGCGGCCCGGUAAGUCCGCUGUAAAAGUCAAAGGCUCAACCUUUGAAUGUCAGUGGAUACUGCCGGGCUAGAGUCCGGAAGAGGCGAGUGGAACUCCUGGUGUAGCGGUGGAAUGCGCAGAUAUCAGGAAGAACACCAACGGCGAAGGCAGCUCGCUGGGACGGUACUGACGCUGAGACGCGAAAGCGUGGGGAGCGAACAGGAUUAGAUACCCUGGUAGUCC